GAUGAACGCUGGCGGCGUGCCUAAUACAUGCAAGUCGAGCGAAUGGACGAGAAGCUUGCUUUUCUGAUGUUAGCGGCGGACGGGUGAGUAACACGUGGAUAACCUACCUAUAAGACUGGGAUAACUUCGGGAAACCGGAGCUAAUACCGGAUAAUAUUUUGAACCGCAUGGUUCAAAAGUGAAAGACGGUCUUGCUGUCACUUAUAGAUGGAUCCGCGCUGCAUUAGCUAGUUGGUAAGGUAACGGCUUACCAAGGCAACGAUGCAUAGCCGACCUGAGAGGGUGAUCGGCCACACUGGAACUGAGACACGGUCCAGACUCCUACGGGAGGCAGCAGUAGGGAAUCUUCCGCAAUGGGCGAAAGCCUGACGGAGCAACGCCGCGUGAGUGAUGAAGGUCUUCGGAUCGUAAAACUCUGUUAUUAGGGAAGAACAUAUGUGUAAGUAACUGUGCACAUCUUGACGGUACCUAAUCAGAAAGCCACGGCUAACUACGUG
This 497-nucleotide ribosomal RNA is filed under the name uncultured bacterium. Its description in RNAcentral is "partial 16S ribosomal RNA". It matches the Rfam family "Bacterial small subunit ribosomal RNA", at positions 28 to 507 of the family's 1533-position model. The record is from RNAcentral.